RNAcentral lists this transfer RNA (92 nucleotides) under Agrocybe pediades. Its description in RNAcentral is "tRNA-Gln". It matches the Rfam family "tRNA". Rfam says of the family: Transfer RNA (tRNA) molecules are approximately 80 nucleotides in length. Their secondary structure includes four short double-helical elements and three loops (D, anti-codon, and T loops). Further hydrogen bonds mediate the characteristic L-shaped molecular structure. tRNAs have two regions of fundamental functional importance: the anti-codon, which is responsible for specific mRNA codon recognition, and the 3' end, to which the tRNAs corresponding amino acid is attached (by aminoacyl-tRNA synthetases). tRNAs cope with the degeneracy of the genetic code in two manners: having more than one tRNA (with a specific anti-codon) for a particular amino acid; and 'wobble' base-pairing, i.e. permitting non-standard base-pairing at the 3rd anti-codon position. Lineage: Eukaryota; Fungi; Basidiomycota; Agaricomycetes; Agaricales; Agrocybaceae. The record is from RNAcentral.
GGCGCUGUAGUGUAGCGGUUAUCACUCAAGAUUCUGAUACAUACCGUGGGAAAAAGAUUCUUGUAACCCCGGUUCGAUUCCGGGCAGUGCCU